RNAcentral lists this long non-coding RNA (257 nucleotides) under Homo sapiens (human). RNAcentral's name for it is "HSALNT0068149". The record is from RNAcentral. Lineage: Eukaryota; Metazoa; Chordata; Mammalia; Primates; Hominidae.
AAACCCUGUUUUGAGAUCUGGAAUAUUGACUGUCUUUCACUCUCCUUGGACCCUAGGGCUACAGAACUGGCUACCCUUAUCGAUACCCUGCUCUGAGAGAGAAGUCUAAAAAAUACAGCGAUGUGGAGGUUCCUGCUAGUGUCACAGGUUACUCCUUUGCUAGUGACGGUGAUUCGGACUGGUCUUUAUGUGGCUGCAUCCUGCUCCCAUGGCGACUCUGCUGAGUGACCCAGAUUAGAUGUGGUCAUUGGUUCAGU